Molecule: ribosomal RNA, 254 nt
Filed under: uncultured bacterium
Lineage: Bacteria
Description: partial 16S ribosomal RNA
Rfam family: Bacterial small subunit ribosomal RNA
Source: RNAcentral
UACGGGGGGGGCAAGCGUUGUUCGGAAUUACUGGGCGUAAAGGGCGCGUAGGCGGCCACCGCAAGUCGGUUGUGAAAUCUCCGGGCUUAACCCGGAAAGGUCAAUCGAUACUGCGGGGCUAGAGUGCAGAAGGGGCAACUGGAAUUCUCGGUGUAGCGGUGAAAUGCGUAGAUAUCGAGAGGAACACCUGCGGCGAAGGCGGGUUGCUGGGCCGACACUGACGCUGAAGCGCGAAAGCCAGGGGAGCGAACGGG